GCGGAGGCUCUGCUGAGCUGCGGACUUCUAAUCCGACGGUCGCGGGUUCGAAUCCUGCCGGGCGCG
This 66-nucleotide transfer RNA is filed under the name Actinomadura sp. WMMB 499. RNAcentral describes it as "tRNA-Arg". It matches the Rfam family "tRNA". From Rfam's summary of the family: Transfer RNA (tRNA) molecules are approximately 80 nucleotides in length. Their secondary structure includes four short double-helical elements and three loops (D, anti-codon, and T loops). Further hydrogen bonds mediate the characteristic L-shaped molecular structure. tRNAs have two regions of fundamental functional importance: the anti-codon, which is responsible for specific mRNA codon recognition, and the 3' end, to which the tRNAs corresponding amino acid is attached (by aminoacyl-tRNA synthetases). tRNAs cope with the degeneracy of the genetic code in two manners: having more than one tRNA (with a specific anti-codon) for a particular amino acid; and 'wobble' base-pairing, i.e. permitting non-standard base-pairing at the 3rd anti-codon position. The record is from RNAcentral. Lineage: Bacteria; Bacillati; Actinomycetota; Actinomycetes; Streptosporangiales; Thermomonosporaceae. RNAcentral also lists the same sequence under 1 other name.